AUGCAUUCUUGCUGUGACAUCAAUGCCGAGCAUGUUGCGCCAAAUUCCCCACUGCCAUGCAACAUGGGUGUGCCUCCCAAUGUUGAACCAUGUAGAGCUUCCGUUGAUGCUCAUGAGAGGAAGGAGCGGUUGAGGCUCCCCAAAGGUGUAGUUGAUUCCUCAAAUGUCACCAGCAAUUCUCAUGUUCCAGAUGCAUGUGCUGGAGUCUGUGUGCAAGUUGGCACAUCACUGGAUGUCUCUGCUAGUCUUAAUGUAACUGCAAACGUGGGUUCGGUGAGUGGAGGCGGCCCUGUAGUAUAUUCUAGCCAAGGGAAGCACAUGGUAGUUGUUGCAAAGAUUAAGCAUGGACUUCGUGGCACCCAUCCCGCCAGUGGCAUAGCCAGUAAGAUUGUUAAUCCAUCUUCGCGUCGGAGUCCAUGCAUUGCCAGUGGUCCAGUGGUUGAUCGUUUAUAUCCUAGUGUUAAGCUUGAUGGAAAGCAUGUUUCUUUCAAGGGUUCAGAGGCUGGAGGUGGUUGUCGAGGUCCUUCUGUUGAUGGCAUUGGGCUCGACGGGAAUAAUGUUGUUUCUAGGAAGCGUCGGCCCGAGGUUGCUGGGAGUGGACCAAAGAAGAAGCCGGCAAAGUCCGCGGCGUCAAAUGUUGGUGCUUGCGAUAGGAUUAAUGUAACUGUUCGCUGUUCUUUGGGAGAGGUUUCUGAGGCAGUUGCUCUGCUUGAGACACGACAUAAAGAUAUUGUUCGUAAGGCUGGUUUUGGCAGUGUAUUUAACUGGGUUAUGAAGGGCAAUGUGUCGUGCCUUCUGAUGUGUCACUUGAUGAAGAAUAUUGACAUGGCCACGAUGCGCAUUGACUGUGGCCCUAAUAAAGUUCUUGUAGUCAGCAGAGAAACCAUGCAUUAG
This 894-nucleotide ribosomal RNA is filed under the name Triticum aestivum (bread wheat). RNAcentral's name for it is "partial small subunit ribosomal RNA". Lineage: Eukaryota; Viridiplantae; Streptophyta; Magnoliopsida; Poales; Poaceae. The record is from RNAcentral.